UACUCCUACGGGAGGCAGCAGUGGGGAAUAUUGGACAAUGGACCAAGAGUCUGAUCCAGCAAUUCUGUGUGCACGAUGAAGUUUUUCGGAAUGUAAAGUGCUUUCAGUUGGGAAGAAAGAAAUGACGGUACCAACAGAAGAAGUGACGGCUAAAUACGUGCCAGCAGCCGCGGUAAUACGUAUGUCACGAGCGUUAUCCGGAUUUAUUGGGCGUAAGGCGCGUCUAGGUGGUUAUAUAAGUCUGAUGUGAAAAUGCAGGGCUCAACUCUGUAUUGCGUUGGAAACUGUAUAACUAGAGUACUGGAGAGGUAAGCGGAACUACAAGUGUAGAGGUGAAAUUCGUAGAUAUUUGUAGGAAUGCCGAUGGGGAAGCCAGCUUACUGGACAGAUACUGACGCUGAAGCGCGAAAGCGUGGGUAGCAAACAGGAUUAGAUACCCUGGUAGUCCACGCCGUAAACGAUGAUUACUAGGUGUUGGGGGUCGAACCUCAGCGCCCAAGCAAACGCGAUAAGUAAUCCGCCUGGGGAGUACGUACGCAAGUAUGAAACUCAAAGGAAUUGACGGA
This 566-nucleotide ribosomal RNA is filed under the name uncultured bacterium. Its description in RNAcentral is "bacterial SSU rRNA". It matches the Rfam family "Bacterial small subunit ribosomal RNA", at positions 334 to 917 of the family's 1533-position model. The record is from RNAcentral.